RNAcentral lists this ribosomal RNA (413 nucleotides) under uncultured microorganism. RNAcentral describes it as "bacterial SSU rRNA". It matches the Rfam family "Bacterial small subunit ribosomal RNA", at positions 9 to 429 of the family's 1533-position model. The record is from RNAcentral.
GAGUUUGAUCGUGGCUCAGAUUGAACGCUGGCGGCAUGCCUUACACAUGCAAGUCGAACGGUAACAGGUCUUCGGAUGCUGACGAGUGGCGAACGGGUGAGUAAUACAUCGGAACGUGCCCGAUCGUGGGGGGAUAACGAGGCGAAAGCUUUGCUAAUACCGCAUACGAUCUACGGAUGAAAGCGGGGGAUCUUCGGACCUCGCGCGGACGGAGCGGCCGAUGGCAGAUUAGGUAGUUGGUGGGAUAAAAGCUUACCAAGCCGACGAUCUGUAGCUGGUCUGAGAGGAUGAUCAGCCACACUGGGACUGAGACACGGCCCAGACUCCUACGGGAGGCAGCAGUGGGAAUUUGGACAAUGGGCGAAAGCCUGAUCCAGCCAUGCCGCGUGCAGGAUGAAGGCCUCGGUUGUAAC